GAUGAACGCUAGCGAUAGGCCUAACACAUGCAAGUCGAGGGGCAUCACAUGAAGUAGCAAUACGGAUGGUGGCGACCGGCGCACGGGUGAGUAACACGUAUGCAACCUGCCUUCAACAAGGGGAUAACCCGUUGAAAGACGGACUAAUACCCUAUAACACAGGGGUCCCGCAUGGGAAUAUUUGUUAAAGGACAACCGGUUGAAGAUGGGCAUGCGUUCCAUUAGCUAGUUGGCGGGGUAACGGCCCACCAAGGCAACGAUGGAUAGGGGAACUGAGAGGUUUAUCCCCCACACUGGUACUGAGACACGGACCAGACUCCUACGGGAGGCAGCAGUGAGGAAUAUUGGUCAAUGGACGCAAGUCUGAACCAGCCACGUCGCGUGAAGGAAGACGCCCUACGGGUUGUAAACUUCUUUGCAAGGGAAUAAAGUGGGCCACGUGUGGCCUUUGCAAGUACCUUGCGAAUAAGGAUCGGCUAACUCCGUGCCAGCAGCCGCG
Molecule: ribosomal RNA, 499 nt
Filed under: uncultured bacterium
Lineage: Bacteria
Description: bacterial SSU rRNA
Rfam family: Bacterial small subunit ribosomal RNA
Source: RNAcentral